UCCCUUACUAAAUAUGAUCGGAUAUUGC
RNAcentral lists this non-coding RNA (28 nucleotides) under Bombyx mori (domestic silkworm). Lineage: Eukaryota; Metazoa; Arthropoda; Insecta; Lepidoptera; Bombycidae. The record is from RNAcentral.